Molecule: ribosomal RNA, 472 nt
Filed under: uncultured bacterium
Lineage: Bacteria
Description: bacterial SSU rRNA
Rfam family: Bacterial small subunit ribosomal RNA
Source: RNAcentral
UGGGGAAUAUUGGACAAUGGGCGAAAGCCUGAUCCAGCCAUGCCGCGUGUGUGAAGAAGGUCUUCGGAUUGUAAAGCACUUUAAGUUGGGAGGAAGGGCAGUAACCUAAUACGUUGCUGUCUUGACGUUACCGACAGAAUAAGCACCGACUAACUCUGUGCCAGCAGCCGCGGUAAUACAGAGGGUGCAAGCGUUAAUCGGAAUUACUGGGCGUAAAGCGCGCGUAGGUGGUUUGUUAAGUUGGAUGUGAAAUCCCCGGGCUCAACCUGGGAACUGCAUUCAAAACUGACAAGCUAGAGUAUGGUAGAGGGUGGUGGAAUUUCCUGUGUAGCGGUGAAAUGCGUAGAUAUAGGAAGGAACACCAGUGGCGAAGGCGACCACCUGGACUGAUACUGACACUGAGGUGCGAAAGCGUGGGGAGCAAACAGGAUUAGAUACCCGUGUAGUCCCUGAGCGGGCUGGCAAGGCGCAU